RNAcentral lists this transfer-messenger RNA (371 nucleotides) under Actinomycetota bacterium. It matches the Rfam family "transfer-messenger RNA". From Rfam's summary of the family: Bacterial tmRNA, also known as 10Sa RNA or SsrA, is named for its dual tRNA and mRNA-like properties. Its role is to liberate the mRNA from a stalled ribosome. To accomplish this part of the tmRNA is used as a reading frame that ends in a translation stop signal. The record is from RNAcentral. Lineage: Bacteria; Bacillati; Actinomycetota.
GGGGGUGAACGGUUUCGACUUCGGUCGUCGAUUCAGGUGAAGCGGGUCGAGGAUGCCGAGGAUGACCUCGUAAACCAUGCCUCGGAAACCAAUAAGUGCCAAUUCACAGCGCACUGACUUCGCUCUCGCCGCCUAGGCAGAGUAGAAGUCCGUCAGACCGCGGGUGCUUCCGCUGCGGACCCUGGCGUCGACUAGGGAGCUUCACUCAUCGGUCCGGUCACGGGACCGGUGAGGACAUCACACAGUGACUGAGCCCGUCGGCAGCUUGCCUGCGUGACUGCCGGGGCUGAGAAAAUCACAGCAGCGCUGCACCCGGAGAAGCCCUGAUGAGCCGUCGAAGGACGCGGGUUCGAUUCCCGCCACCUCCACCA